UGGGGAAUAUUGGACAAUGGGGGGAACCCUGAUCCAGCCAUGCCGCGUGUGUGAAGAAGGCCUUUUGGUUGUAAAGCACUUUAAGCGAGGAGGAGGCUACCGAGAUUAAUACUCUUGGAUAGUGGACGUUACUCGCAGAAUAAGCACCGGCUAACUCUGUGCCAGCAGCCGCGGUAAUACAGAGCGUGCAAGCGUUAAUCGGAUUUACUGGGCGUAAAGCGCGCGUAGGUGGCCAAGUAAGUCAAAUGUGAAAUCCACGAGCUUAACUUGGGAAUUGCAUUCGAUACUGGUUUGCUAGAGUAUGGGAGAGGAUGGGAGAAUGCCAGGUGAAGCGGUGAAAUGCGUAGAGAUCUGGAGGAAUACAGCAGGCGAAGGCAGCCAUCUGGCCUAAUACUGACACUGAGGUGCGAAAGCAUGGGGAGCAAACAGG
Molecule: ribosomal RNA, 430 nt
Filed under: bacterium
Lineage: Bacteria
Description: partial 16S ribosomal RNA
Rfam family: Bacterial small subunit ribosomal RNA
Source: RNAcentral